This 382-nucleotide long non-coding RNA is filed under the name Hordeum vulgare. Its description in RNAcentral is "long non-coding RNA (HVUL_LNC017484)". The record is from RNAcentral. Lineage: Eukaryota; Viridiplantae; Streptophyta; Magnoliopsida; Poales; Poaceae.
UGGGCGCCAUCUGCAACGGCAUUGCACUGCACACACCAGGGCUCAUUCCAUACUGUGCAACUUUCUUUGUUUUCACUGACUACAUGAGAGGUGCCAUGAGGAUCUCAGCCUUGUCUGAAGCUGGAGUUAUCUAUGUCAUGACCCAUGACUCCAUUGGUCUGGGUGAAGAUGGUCCGACCCAUCAACCCAUUGAGCACUUGGUGAGCUUCCGCGCAAUGCCUAACAUGCUGAUGUUCCGUCCUGCUGAUGGCAAGGAGACUGCUGGGGCAUACAAGGUGGCGGUCCUCAACAGGAAGAGGCCAUCCAUUCUGGCUCUCUCAAGGCAAAAGCUUCCUCAUCUGCCUGGUACCUCAAUUGAGGGUGUUGCGAAGGGUGGAUACAC